RNAcentral lists this ribosomal RNA (119 nucleotides) under Pteropus alecto (black flying fox). The record is from RNAcentral. Lineage: Eukaryota; Metazoa; Chordata; Mammalia; Chiroptera; Pteropodidae.
GUUUACAGCCAUGCCAUCCUGAACGUGCCCCAUCUCGUCUGAUCUCGGAAGCUAAACAGGGUCAGGCCUGGUUAGUACUUGGAUAGGAGACUAUCUAGGAAUACCAGGUGCUGUAGGUG